CUGAUCUGACUCGUGCAAGCAAUAAAUUAUGAUCCUUAUUAACAACUGCUGAUAAUAUAAUAAGCAAUCUAAUCCUUUGUAGGGAAGACUGGGGAGGAUUCAACAUCUAACUCUAAUUUUUGAAGAUGAAGUUCUUUAAGUGUUACCUUACAUAACACAUUUGUCUAGCACAAAUACUGAUUGAACUGAUUGUACUGAUUGAAAACCCUGUCAGUUUUUGAGUUAGAGUCAAAAGACAUAAAUGUUCUUUUUUAGAACCUAAUCCAACACUGGCAUGAGUUGUAACAAUAAGACAAAUAAAAAUAAAAGUAGAGCCCAUACUGUAGAUUCCAUUUCACGUCUUUUCAGAAACAGAACAACCCAUAACCAUGCUUCCCUGUCUCUGCUGAAGAUAAACAUCCACCCCAUGAUGCAGCCACUACCAUGCUUCACCAUGAUUCAUGUGCAGUGUUAUCUUUCUGCUCAUAGGACAGAUUUAUAGAGUUGCAGACUUACCGUUAAUGCUCUGCUGCACACCCUGCCAACUCAGGUGGACCGCCAGAUACUGAGGCAAAGAAGAACAUGCUAAAACCACAGCGCCAUAUAGUGCCCUGGCAUGACAACUACAGUGGAUUCAAGCGGGAGCCACAGGCCAUGUUGAUGAACCUGGGCUGGAAGGAAUCUGCAGCCUCCUCCACUUGACUGAGCAGAGCUAAUGAGUUGGAAAAUCCCACAAUCGGGGUUUCAGGGUUCGCCAUUGGAAUCAGGUGAAACAGGUACUUCAGGCGUCCACUGGAGCAAGGGUGAGAAGUGUUUCAUUGAGAGGAUUUUGCAAACUGUCAAACACUUUGAGAGUUGAAGCACUUCGAGGAGUUUAAAGAGGAAAAGGCGUAGGAGGUGGAGAAUGCGAUUGGCUGAAGGGAUUUGCUCCUUUGAUCUGUAAACCAUGACUGUGCAAAGGGCUUCAGCUCUCAGCCAGGUGGACUCUGUUUAUCAACCAGUUGUCAAUCCCCCAUUACGAUGCCCCCAAGGUGUGAAAUGUCUCACCAGAUCCUUUUCUACAUGCCUAAUCACACAUCACACCUUCAGCCAGACAACACUGGCACAAUUACAGACACAGAAACCAAAGUUUAUGACCAUGGCAGAAAGAAAAGGAUAACUGAGUUGAGGUUGAGACAGUAUUUCUGACAUUUUGGGAACCUGUGGCUGGAUACCAUAAUGCUCCAGUUGUCAACAAACGUUUAUUUCUCAACAUGGUUUCAAAUUCUAGGCAGACUCUUAAUGUGUAGCCUUUGUGUGUUCUCCAUUUGGAUGAGUGGCUUUUCUCUGGGUACUCUUGCUUCCUUGCAGUCCUAUUUUCUCAUUUCUCUCUGUGUUCCCUUUUGAUGUCAUGUUAAUCUGGCCAAGAUUUACCUUGCUCAUUGACGGCUGACGAUG
Molecule: long non-coding RNA, 1416 nt
Organism: Xiphophorus hellerii (green swordtail)
Lineage: Eukaryota; Metazoa; Chordata; Actinopteri; Cyprinodontiformes; Poeciliidae
Exons: 4
Source: RefSeq, a predicted model, not a curated record